Molecule: long non-coding RNA, 396 nt
Organism: Varanus komodoensis (Komodo dragon)
Lineage: Eukaryota; Metazoa; Chordata; Lepidosauria; Squamata; Varanidae
Exons: 2
Source: RefSeq, a predicted model, not a curated record
UUGGUACCCCACUAGUUACCUUCCUCCAGUUUGAGAAGACACCAUUGAUGAGCACUCUUUGUUCCAGAUUUGGCAGCUAAUUUUGGAUCCGUUUGGUUUUUUUUAAUCUCGUCCACUUUUUGCUAAUUCACUUAUCAGGACAUUGUGGGGUACUAUGUAAAAGCUCUGCUACAGUCAAGACAUACACCAAGAGUUCUCUAAAAUGUGCCAUCAAGCUUCAUUCUGCUUUUUCACCACUCAGAGGAGAUACAUGAAGCCCAGCCCUGACUCCAUUAAUGAAUACAAGGAAGUUGCAGGAGAAUCUGCAUGUUGCUCUAACUUCUCCCAUUUUCUUCAUUUUGACAAUACAUCAUUGCCGUUCUCCGUCACAUCUUACCAAUGAAUUUUUCAAACUAU